AGCGGCACGGCCGGGCCGAAAGGCCAGCGGGCGUGGGUGAAAGGAGAGCCCCUGCCCUGGUUCCUGCCACGAAAACCUGGCUGUUGCCAUCAUGAGGCUUGGUACCCCACAGGUAUCCCUAAUGCAAAAUGGAUACAAGAAUGUGACCCCACUUACAUCUGGAGAAAAAGUCUACUCACCUAGGAGGCAAAGAGUGCCAACAACGUCUUGGGAAUGGGGAACAGACCAGGGCUUACCAGCCACACUUGUGACCAAGGUGACUGGAGCAUGUUGGUCAGAGAGGCUGGAGAAUCUCCCCUACUCGGAGUCAAAACCUAAGUGGACAAUGUCUUGGGCAAGUUGCUUUAGUUGACCCUGCCUAAAACAGGUUGGAUGAGGUGAUUUGCAGGGAGCUCUUCCAACCUCUGCUAUUCUGUCAUUCCAAGGGCUCAGCCUAUUCCCCAUCCAUAAAUUCCUUAAAGAGA
This is a long non-coding RNA of Passer domesticus (house sparrow), 464 nucleotides long. RefSeq lists it as uncharacterized. The transcript has 3 exons. The record is from RefSeq and is a predicted model, not a curated record. NCBI's taxonomy places the organism in Eukaryota, Metazoa, Chordata, Aves, Passeriformes, Passeridae.